Molecule: transfer RNA, 86 nt
Filed under: Ruegeria sp. TM1040
Lineage: Bacteria; Pseudomonadati; Pseudomonadota; Alphaproteobacteria; Rhodobacterales; Roseobacteraceae
Also listed under: 67 other names
Description: tRNA-Leu (CAA) (tRNA-Leu-CAA-1-1)
Rfam family: tRNA
About the family: Transfer RNA (tRNA) molecules are approximately 80 nucleotides in length. Their secondary structure includes four short double-helical elements and three loops (D, anti-codon, and T loops).
Source: RNAcentral
GCCCAAGUGGCGGAAUGGUAGACGCAGGGGAUUCAAAAUCCCCCGCUGGUGACAGCGUGCCGGUUCGAGUCCGGCCUUGGGUACCA